UGGAAGAAUCAAUCACAAAGUUAUUUAAUUCAGAAUCAAUAAAAGUCUUCCUAACAAAGAAAACUAUAAACCCAAAUCAGAAUAAGAAUUUAGUUCAACACGGUAGAAGAAUCAAUCACAAAGUUAUUAGAUUCAAAAUCCAUACAAAUCCUCCUAACAAUGAAAACUAUGAAACCCAAAUCAGAAUAACAAGAGAAAGGAGAAAAACUCUGUUGUAUGAGCAAAAAAUAAGCAUUCCUCUUCUAGUUCCAUAAAUCUUCAAAGUUUCUUCACUUGAUCUUCUAAAAGAUGAUAAAAGUGAUGGAAAUUAGGUAAAAGUUGCCUCAAAUCGACGCAAAAGAAGUUUAUACAUGCUGCAAGUCUCCAUAAACUGUCUCAGGGCAAUUUUGUAAAGUUAUCCCAUCCUUUAAAAGUGGAUCAGCGUUGUUUUGAUUUCCACAUUGCCCGGUUAUACAUCUUAUCCCUCUCCGCAGGCCCAGGCAGCGCAGUUUGCAAACUGGGAGUUUCUGAUCACUUUGAGCCUUUCUCGCGAGUGGCAUUACCCCCAGUAACCAUUUCAACUUUCACACAAUCCCCGGCCAGUGUACAACUCUAUUAUGAAAUUCAGAACUUUUGCCUCAAAUUGUGCAUAUUCUCACCAAAACUCAAAGAAACUCAUGAAACUUCAUGCUCAUACAAAACUUAGGCUUAAAUUGCUUCCAAGAUCCUUAGAAAGCCAAGAACCCCAAGUUCACUUCACUUAACUCAUCCCCACCAUGCAACCGAAGUUCUUUCCUCCCACUCACUU
This 787-nucleotide unclassified non-coding RNA is filed under the name Hevea brasiliensis (rubber tree). The record is from RNAcentral. Lineage: Eukaryota; Viridiplantae; Streptophyta; Magnoliopsida; Malpighiales; Euphorbiaceae.